AAGGAAUUUUCCCCACUGGGCGCAAGCCUGAGGGAGCAACGCCGCGUGGAGGACGACGGCCUUCGGGUUGUAAACUCCUUUUCGGGGGGAAGAUACAGACGGUACCCCCGGAAUAAGCCCCGGCUAACUCCGUGCCAGCAGCCGCGGUAAUACGGAGGGGGCAAGCGUUGUCCGGACUUACUGGGCGUAAAGGGUGCGUAGGCGGCCUGCUGCGUCGGUGCUGAAAGCGCCCGGCUUAACCGGGCGAGGCGUGCCGAUACGAGCGGGCUGGAGCCUUGGCGAGGGUGGCGGAACUCCUGGUGUAGUGGUGAAAUGCGUAGAGAUCAGGAAGAACACCCGUGGCGCAAGCGGCCACCUGGCCAAGAGCUGACGCUGAGGCACGAGAGCGUGGGGAGCGAAC
RNAcentral lists this ribosomal RNA (400 nucleotides) under uncultured bacterium. RNAcentral's name for it is "bacterial SSU rRNA". It matches the Rfam family "Bacterial small subunit ribosomal RNA", at positions 356 to 773 of the family's 1533-position model. The record is from RNAcentral.